This 468-nucleotide ribosomal RNA is filed under the name uncultured bacterium. RNAcentral's name for it is "partial 16S ribosomal RNA". The stretch from base 20 to 332 matches the Rfam family "Bacterial small subunit ribosomal RNA", at positions 47 to 358 of the family's 1533-position model. The record is from RNAcentral.
GACGAACGCUGGCGGCGUGCUUAACACAUGCAAGUCGAACGGAAAGGCCCUGCUUUUGUGGGGUGCUCGAGUGGCGAACGGGUGAGUAACACGUGAGUAACCUGCCCUUGACUUUGGGAUAACUUCAGGAAACUGGGGCUAAUACCGGAUAGGAGCUCCUGCUGCAUGGUGGGGGUUGGAAAGUUUCGGCGGUUGGGGAUGGACUCGCGGCUUAUCAGCUUGUUGGUGGGGUAGUGGCUUACCAAGGCUUUGACGGGUAGCCGGCCUGAGAGGGUGACCGGGGAGAUGGGGAGCGUGAGACGGCCAGGAGGCGGGCGGGGGGGAGAGGCGGGGGAUGGGGGAGGAGGGGCGGGGGCUUGAGGGAGGAAUGCGGCGGGGGGGAGGAGGGGCGGGGGGGGGGAAACAGAGUGAGCCGGGGAAGAAGAGUGAGGGAAGGGGAUGGAUAAGGAAGCAACGGCAAGUGUAGUC